ACGGGUGAGUAACGCGUGGGAAUCUACCCAUCUCUGCGGAAUAGCUCUGGGAAACUGGAAUUAAUACCGCAUACGCCCUACGGGGGAAAGAUUUAUCGGGGAUGGAUGAGCCCGCGUUGGAUUAGCUAGUUGGUGGGGUAAAGGCCUACCAAGGCGACGAUCCAUAGCUGGUCUGAGAGGAUGAUCAGCCACAUUGGGACUGAGACACGGCCCAAACUCCUACGGGAGGCAGCAGUGGGGAAUAUUGGACAAUGGGCGCAAGCCUGAUCCAGCCAUGCCGCGUGAGUGAUGAAGGCCUUAGGGUUGUAAAGCUCUUUCACCGAUGAAGAUAAUGACGGUAGUCGGAGAAGAAGCCCCGGCUAACUUCGUGCCAGCAGCCGCGGUGAUACGAAGGGGGCUAGCGUUGUUCGGAAUUACUGGGCGUAAAGCGCACGUAGGCGGAUAUUUAAGUCAGGGGUGAAAUCCCGCAGCUCAACUGCGGAACUGCCUUUGAUACUGGGUAUCUUGAGUAUGGAAGAGGUAAGUGGAAUUCCGAGUGUAGAGGUGAAAUUCGUAGA
Molecule: ribosomal RNA, 557 nt
Filed under: uncultured Rhizobium sp.
Lineage: Bacteria; Pseudomonadati; Pseudomonadota; Alphaproteobacteria; Hyphomicrobiales; Rhizobiaceae
Description: bacterial SSU rRNA
Rfam family: Bacterial small subunit ribosomal RNA
Source: RNAcentral